GUGUGCGGCUGCCCUUGGGACUGGAUGCGCGUUUGAGGGGCCACAAGGGAGGACAACAGUGUGAGUUGGGCACGGCCACAGAGCAAGUGAGCAGAGCAGCUGGGCGCAUCUGAGAUGACGAAGAGGCAGCUGGUGACUGGAGGAGUGACGUGUGCUUGUCCUUCAGAAGGAAGGGAAGAGGGAGACUCUCGGCCCCUUGAAAGCUAAGGGGCCGCAAAGGAUGGUGACCGUCCAAGUCCAGCACGGGUAAGGAGCAGGUGGAGAGGUCCUAGAGGAAUGCGACAGGUGGAAAAGCACGCUUUAUGUCCAGUGUUUCCCAAAACUGGAGGCAUAAUAAAAGAGCAUUACUAAUACAAUAAUAAAGGAAAUG
Non-coding RNA from Phalacrocorax carbo (great cormorant), 370 nucleotides. Lineage: Eukaryota; Metazoa; Chordata; Aves; Suliformes; Phalacrocoracidae. The record is from RefSeq and is a predicted model, not a curated record.